GAUGAACGCUGGCGGCGUGCCUAAUACAUGCAAGUCGAGCGAACAGACGAGGAGCUUGCUCCUCUGACGUUAGCGGCGGACGGGUGAGUAACACGUGGAUAACCUACCUAUAAGACUGGGAUAACUUCGGGAAACCGGAGCUAAUACCGGAUAAUAUAUUGAACCGCAUGGUUCAAUAGUGAAAUACGGUUUUGCUGUCACUUAUAGAUGGAUCCGCGCCGCAUUAGCUAGUUGGUAAGGUAACGGCUUACCAAGGCAACGAUGCGUAGCCGACCUGAGAGGGUGAUCGGCCACACUGGAACUGAGACACGGUCCAGACUCCUACGGGAGGCAGCAGUAGGGAAUCUUCCGCAAUGGGCGAAAGCCUGACGGAGCAACGCCGCGUGAGUGAUGAAGGUCUUCGGAUCGUAAAACUCUGUUAUUAGGGAAGAACAAAUGUGUAAGUAACUAUGCACGUCUUGACGGUAACUAAUCAGAAAGCCACGGCUAACUACGUG
Molecule: ribosomal RNA, 497 nt
Filed under: uncultured bacterium
Lineage: Bacteria
Description: partial 16S ribosomal RNA
Rfam family: Bacterial small subunit ribosomal RNA
Source: RNAcentral